Pteronotus mesoamericanus is the source of this 688-nucleotide long non-coding RNA. RefSeq lists it as uncharacterized. NCBI's taxonomy places the organism in Eukaryota, Metazoa, Chordata, Mammalia, Chiroptera, Mormoopidae. The record is from RefSeq and is a predicted model, not a curated record. The transcript is spliced from 4 exons.
GACAGCGCUUCUCCAGGAACUCUUGGAAGCCCUGGACGCCCAUGCUUCGUCGGCGGGCAGACGAGACGGCGGCUGCGCGAGCAGGCUAGGCGCCGCUUUUCAUCGUUUCACAAGUGGUGAAGCCUCUUCCUUCCACCUCCGGAAGCCAUGUUGCCUAGUCUUGGUGGUACACACUUUCUAGAUGAAGAAAGGGGGACGGGACAGGGCGGGGCAGAGAGGCAUCCUGGGAGUUGUAGUGUUCUCUGCGAUCUCAGGAUACAGUCGAGGAACAAGAUUACCACCCAUGUCAGCCCUUGCGCUCACAGGGCGCAAGUGGUGGGGUGUGAUGAUAUGUGUUUCGCAUUUGCACUUCGACUCCUGGCAUCCACCGAGUUGCUUCAGGCUAUUUACUGCCGUUCCCAGGAAAAGAGAUUCAAGGGGAAAGGAGUGAUGCAUCAUGGGAAAGGAAGUGGAGCGGAUUAAGUCAAUUAUACUAAACUCCCCCCAAACGUGAUGAUGUCUCAGCUGGAGUGCAACGAGGUGAGGGACCCCCUCUCUACCACCUUCUCUACUUUAUCCUCAUGGUUGCAGCAGGAACCAUCCGUUACGUACCUUUUUUAGAGAAUUUGGGAUCGAGCUGGAAGAGAGAUGAAAAAUUGUGGCUACAUUCAAGCACCUGAUUUAAUUGCUCCUGAAGCCCAUCUGCAUU